UAUAGAACAGAACCAGUGCUUGAAUUGUUUGGACCAAACUACCCCUUCACUGGUUCAGACUCUGUUACCGUUUUUAAAAUGUUGAUACCAAUCUUUCCCGCUUUGUAAAAUCCAAUUCUAGAAAAUGUUUACAAAUUCCUGACUAAUUGCAGGUAUCCACGGGAUUAUGUUCAUCGUGUGGGCCGUACUGCAAGAGCUGGCAGAGGAGGGCUGGCCAUGAGCUUUGUUACACAGAUGACUGUGGAAGAGAGCAAAGAGGCAGAUACAAGUACUGGUGGAGAAACUCACAGAAUCUCUAGAGGAAUUCAUGACAAGGUGGGUUGAUCCUCUUGAGGCCUGAUCAUGAUGGCCCACUCCGGUUUGCAGCAGCUGCAGCGUUUCUUAGUAAAUUAUACAAAGACUAUCUUGGUAUUAUUAGGAGUUAUGGAGGCAGUUGUGGUUCCCAGUCAUUUUCCAUGGUGUCGUUUGUUGAUAAUGUGGGUUUGAAGCUCAUCAUGUUGUGUGCAUGAUAUCCAAUCUGUCCAUCACAUUCGCCACCACAUUUUCUUCUCAUAUCCCAAAACUCAGGCCCAUUCAAGACUUGGAAUUCAACUACAUUAAUCAUUUUGGUGGUUUAAUCCAAACUGUUCAAAAUUUAUCUCUUGA
Molecule: long non-coding RNA, 645 nt
Organism: Magnolia sinica
Lineage: Eukaryota; Viridiplantae; Streptophyta; Magnoliopsida; Magnoliales; Magnoliaceae
Exons: 3
Source: RefSeq, a predicted model, not a curated record